ACUCAUUCACUCUCUCUGUAAAUAACUAUUCAAUAAAAUCUGAUAGAACCAUGCAAGGCACCAAAGCCUCUCUGUGAUUUCCUCCAUGCAACUGCCAGGCUGGAAAAUCAAUCAAUUUUCUCUACCUGGAAAAGGGGAAUAACCCCAAACAAUGGCACGUGAUUACAGCUGAGCAAGAAGCAGUAUUUGUAUCCCACAAAUGCUAAUUAAAGGAGAACCAAAAGAAAUUGUAGUGGGGUGAAAUUACUGAUUUCAGUUGUUGAAGACUUCUGUGAGGAAGCAGUAACAACUACCCUUGCCACAAUAACAGCAGCUCUAGCAAUCCACAUGGCCGUUAAAACACAGACACAAACGUCACCCGAACAUCCCAUGUCAGCAGAGAAUGACAAAGUCUCAUCUCAGGCAGGGGUGGCACAAAGGACUUCUGACAUCUGACUACCUGACUACUGAAAGGGAAGAAGUUCUGAAAAGUAUUCUCAUUUAUCUGCUUUGCCCCUUUUCUUUGUAGAUUGCAGGAUCCUGAAUCACAAGGAAAAGAAGGCAGAUUUCUCAAUUGCCUAUAAGAAAAUGACACCUGAGGCCAGCCAGAUGUAUGCAGGGACAUAUCCUAUAUCUGAAGGGAAAGAUUUGGUUCCAAGGGCUGAUAAAUUACAAGUUUGGCCUAAUAAAAUUAAAGCAUUGGUUUGUACCUAUAUUAUUCUUCUUAAAUUUCAAGAAAGGAAGGAAGGAAAA
Oxyura jamaicensis (ruddy duck) is the source of this 732-nucleotide long non-coding RNA. RefSeq lists it as uncharacterized. The record is from RefSeq and is a predicted model, not a curated record. NCBI's taxonomy places the organism in Eukaryota, Metazoa, Chordata, Aves, Anseriformes, Anatidae. The transcript has 5 exons.